CCCCGCGCCCGUCCGACCUCUGCGCUGGCCCCGCUGGGGAACUUCGCAGCAUCCUGAAUAGUAGCACCUGGGAACAGCACUGUCAUGAACAUACAAGCUUGAUCGAAUGGAUCUUGCUGGGAUUUGUUACCAAGGAGAGGACUGAAAUAAAAUAAGCUGGAAGAAUGUUGCUCUCAUUGAGUAAAUGUUUAUAUCUAAGUGUUUAUCAAAAC
RNAcentral lists this long non-coding RNA (212 nucleotides) under Struthio camelus australis. RNAcentral's name for it is "lncRNA (ENSSCUG00000012228.1)". Lineage: Eukaryota; Metazoa; Chordata; Aves; Struthioniformes; Struthionidae. The record is from RNAcentral.